Molecule: ribosomal RNA, 492 nt
Filed under: uncultured bacterium
Lineage: Bacteria
Description: partial 16S ribosomal RNA
Rfam family: Bacterial small subunit ribosomal RNA
Source: RNAcentral
AGUGAACGCUGGCGGUAGGCCUAACACAUGCAAGUCGAACGGCAGCACAGUAAGAGCUUGCUCUUACGGGUGGCGAGUGGCGGACGGGUGAGGAAUACAUCGGAAUCUACUUUUUCGUGGGGGAUAACGUAGGGAAACUUACGCUAAUACCGCAUACGACCUACGGGUGAAAGCAGGGGAUCUUCGGACCUUGCGCGAUUGAAUGAGCCGAUGUCGGAUUAGCUAGUUGGCGGGGUAAAGGCCCGCCAAGGCGACGAUCCGUAGCUGGUCUGAGAGGAUGAUCAGCCACACUGGAACUGAGACACGGUCCAGACCCCUACGGGAGGCAGCAGUGGGGAAUAUUGGACAAUGGGCGCAAGCCUGAUCCAGCCAUACCGCGUGGGUGAAGAAGGCCUUCGGGUUGUAAAGCCCUUUUGUUGGGAAAGAAAAGCAGCAGGUUAAUACCCCGCUGUUCUGACGGUACCCAAAGAAUAAGCACCGGCUAACUUCGUG